CUUCGCUAGUGGAAAGAGAAUCCAAUUACAUGAGGCAGAUGAACACGAGACUGUUUACAUUUCUUUUCUAGGUGCUCCCUUUAGGUAGGAUUUGGGGGAGACUUGACAGAUAAAUUUCUGAUACAUACAGAGCUCUGUUAAAAUUGCAUUUAGAAUGAUCUUUUAUAUCAGGAAUCUCAAAUACUCAAACUCAUAGACCCUGAGAAUAGAAUGAUAGUUAUGAGGGCCUAGGGCAAAGGGAGACUGAGGAAGCAUUGGUCAAAGCACACACAGUUUCAGAUAUGACAGGGUCAAAUGCAAUACCUACCAGACCUGCAGAAGGAAGUAAAUCCUCUUUGUCACUCUUGAUAGAGUGAAAGAGAAAGAAGGGCAGACGAGAAGGGAGGUUGGUUCUCCCAUUCCUUCUUCCUCUGGAAAUUUUUGACAAAAUAGGGACUGACUGCAUCACCAUACAUGGUCCCAUUACCUGCUCUUCACCCCUUAAGACUGUGAUGUUAAGCAUUGUUCCUUCUCAGAGCCAUGCUGCUAAAAUGAGACAAAACCUGCUUCCUGGCCAUGCAGUGAAGGGCAUGCCCUCAGAGGGGCACCAUAGCCACU
Molecule: long non-coding RNA, 597 nt
Organism: Manis pentadactyla (Chinese pangolin)
Lineage: Eukaryota; Metazoa; Chordata; Mammalia; Pholidota; Manidae
Exons: 2
Source: RefSeq, a predicted model, not a curated record